GUGUCAGCAGCCGCGGUAAUACGGAGGAUGCAAGCGUUAUCCGGAAUGAUUGGGCGUAAAGCGUCCGCAGGUGGCAAUGUAAGUCUGCUGUUAAAGAGUCUAGCUCAACUAGAUAAAAGCAGUGGAAACUACAUAGCUAGAGUACGUUCGGGGCAGAGGGAAUUCCUGGUGUAGCGGUGAAAUGCGUAGAGAUCAGGAAGAACACCGGUGGCGAAGGCGCUCUGCUAGGCCGUAACUGACACUGAGGGACGAAAGCUAGGGGAGCGAAUGGGAUUAGAUACCCCAGUAGUCC
Molecule: ribosomal RNA, 292 nt
Filed under: uncultured bacterium
Lineage: Bacteria
Description: partial 16S ribosomal RNA
Rfam family: Bacterial small subunit ribosomal RNA
Source: RNAcentral